Molecule: RNA transcript, 373 nt
Organism: Esox lucius (northern pike)
Lineage: Eukaryota; Metazoa; Chordata; Actinopteri; Esociformes; Esocidae
Exons: 4
Source: RefSeq, a predicted model, not a curated record
UUUCUCCAUUUUACAUCCCAUAACAACAGAAUUCUAUGGCGACUAUGAAACUUCUCUUCUUAGUGAUGUGCCUGAUUGGACUAUGUUACUCCAUUCCUAUGUCUGAGAAAGGUGUUCCAGAGGAGCGCAUGUCAAGUUCUGAGGAGUACAUGCAUUUUGGGGGGUUCGAACCUUACCAGCUGCAGCCUCAGUAUCCAUCAUAUUUUCCCUAUGGCCAGCCAUCCCAAGCAUAUUCCGCUGCAAUGUCCCUCCUGCCUUUCCUAUUAGCAGGACUUGCUGCUACUCCUGCCCCAGCUCCUGCCCCUUCUCCUGCCCCAGCUCCUGCCCCACCAGCAGCCGCAGGAGGCAAAUGAAAGGCUUGCAGGAUAAAUGA